This 124-nucleotide ribosomal RNA is filed under the name uncultured bacterium. RNAcentral describes it as "partial 16S ribosomal RNA". It matches the Rfam family "Bacterial small subunit ribosomal RNA", at positions 1378 to 1501 of the family's 1533-position model. The record is from RNAcentral.
CCCUUGUACACACCGCCCGUCACACCAUGGGAGUGGGUUGCACCAGAAGUAGCUAGUCUAACCUUCGGGGGGACGGUUACCACGGUGUGAUUCAUGACUGGGGUGAAGUCGUAACAAGGUACCC